Molecule: antisense RNA, 75 nt
Filed under: Streptomyces zhaozhouensis
Lineage: Bacteria; Bacillati; Actinomycetota; Actinomycetes; Kitasatosporales; Streptomycetaceae
Description: ASpks TB sRNA
Rfam family: ASpks TB sRNA
Source: Rfam by way of RNAcentral
CUUCACGGAGCCGAGCCACAGCGGGUUCCCCACGCGCCGGCCCUGGCCGUAGGUGGCGAGCAGCGCCUGCGCCUC